AGCUAAUCCCCAGACCUAGUCAUAAGAAGAUCCACCUGCAGUGACCAGAGCCAUUUAGAGGUUAACAUACAUGUCUAAUGAGAACUUAUUGAGAUUACGUCUCAAAAGAAGAAGUCGUAUUCAGUAAAAGGAUGGGAGACGCUUAGCUACAGUCACACAGAGGAGACGUUUUUCUUCUUCCAAAUAUAAAACCAAGAUAUCAGGAAGGGAGGCAUGGGCUGAAAGGACCAGAUUAUCUGUAACAAUGUUUUGUCAGCAUGGAAGAAGACGCAACCCUGCUUAAUUCUGGAAGUCAAAUCUGAGACUGCAACUCCGAUGGACGAGAGCUCCUCCAGAAUCCCUCCUGAAAUCUUGAGGGACUAAACAAAAAUUUCAUAUUGACAGCUCAAGAUUUAUUGGAUACUUAACUGGAAAAUGGAAUAUUGCUAUAAUCUCAGUGUGGAAAGGGAACUCCAAGAGCCCACACAUUCAACAGGUCACAGACUUGGAAUCAAAGUGAAAUAAACUAUUGCUUCCAAAGUCAAAACACAAAAUCAGCAGUGCAGGCCCGAAGAAAACGAGUCAAAAAGACUCAUCUUCUGCAACUUUUUCUUUUAACACUUUAAAUCUCCCUUUCAAAAUACAACUUCCU
This is a long non-coding RNA of Mauremys reevesii (Reeves's turtle), 631 nucleotides long. RefSeq lists it as uncharacterized. NCBI's taxonomy places the organism in Eukaryota, Metazoa, Chordata, Testudines, Geoemydidae. The record is from RefSeq and is a predicted model, not a curated record. The transcript has 3 exons.